RNAcentral lists this ribosomal RNA (484 nucleotides) under uncultured bacterium. RNAcentral describes it as "partial 16S ribosomal RNA". It matches the Rfam family "Bacterial small subunit ribosomal RNA", at positions 30 to 507 of the family's 1533-position model. The record is from RNAcentral.
AUUGAACGCUAGCGGGAUGCUUUACACAUGCAAGUCGAACGGCAGCGCGGACUUCGGUCUGGCGGCGAGUGGCGAACGGGUGAGUAAUGUAUCUGAACGUGCCCAGUAGCGGGGGAUAACUACGCGAAAGCGUAGCUAAUACCGCAUACGCCCUACGGGGGAAAGCAGGGGAUCGUAAGACCUUGCACUAUUGGAGCGGCCGAUAUCGGAUUAGCUAGUUGGUGAGGUAACGGCUCACCAAGGCGACGAUCCGUAGCUGGUUUGAGAGGACGACCAGCCACACUGGGACUGAGACACGGCCCAGACUCCUACGGGAGGCAGCAGUGGGGAAUUUUGGACAAUGGGGGCAACCCUGAUCCAGCCAUCCCGCGUGUGCGAUGAAGGCCUUCGGGUUGUAAAGCACUUUUGGCAGGAAAGAAACGUCGCGGGCUAAUACCCCGUGGAACUGACGGUACCUGCAGAAUAAGCACCGGCUAACUACGUG